Molecule: non-coding RNA, 30 nt
Filed under: Macaca fascicularis (crab-eating macaque)
Lineage: Eukaryota; Metazoa; Chordata; Mammalia; Primates; Cercopithecidae
Also listed under: 1 other name
Source: RNAcentral
GGCCUGUCAAAGCACCAGGUUGAAGGAUGA